Molecule: long non-coding RNA, 1111 nt
Filed under: Fragaria vesca (wild strawberry)
Lineage: Eukaryota; Viridiplantae; Streptophyta; Magnoliopsida; Rosales; Rosaceae
Description: long non-coding RNA (FVES_LNC005039)
Source: RNAcentral
GGAUAGAGUCCCUAUGUUGUGGACAGACUGGGGCGAGGUCCCGCAGGAGGUUAAGGACAUGGUCCACAACGCGAUGUCGGUGAGUUUACAAAAUAAUAUUAUGUAUUACAUUGUUGAUUUCUCGAAAAACUAAACCAAUAAACGGUUAAAUACAGGUGUGGUUUGAGGUUCCCGAGCACCUGAAGGACAGCUGGGCCGACGUUGUGCAUGGGGGAAGGUACGUUGGGAAGUUAAUGAAAAACAAAAUUGUAUGUGAUAUUAAUAAUAUUUCUAAUAUUUUUGUUGUAUCUGUAGGUACAAGGAGUGGAAGAACGAGUUGCGGACCCACUGGACUACGCACGGGAACGCACGUUCUGGUACCCCUGCUGAGUUCCAGUACAGGGAGUACGAGUGGCGUUGGCUUCUGACAUCAGAAUUCAACAACCCUCGUAAACAGGUAUUUAAAAAAAUUAAUUAGUUAAUUUCUCAUUAAGUACGUCCGUUUUUAAAUAUUUUACUAAUAAUUUAUUUUUUUCUUUGAAGGCCGUUUCCCGAGCGAACUCUCAGAACCGGCAACGCAACACAAGAAACCAUCAUGGCGGUUCUAGACCGUUUGCUGUCUUCAUGGACGAGGCGGCCAGGGAACAUCCAGAAGUCAACCGGUACGUCUAUACGUACGAGAAGGCAUAUCCUGACUCCCAGGAGGAUAUUGUAAGUCAUCUUACGUUUUUAAAUUUUUAAAUUUACUUAUAUAUAUGUCAAAAUGUUAAUUAAUAAUUGUUUUCCUAUCCAUAUAGGCGAAAGUGAGGGAGGCUAGUGACGAGGUGAUGAGUGCUAUAGUGAGGGAGACAUGGCCGGACACGCAGGAGGAAGAGAUGUCCGAAGCCAUGUCCCGGAUCGACACUUCGGAUCCGACGAUUGGGGCGAGGAUCAUGGGCACAGCCUUCCCACCGAGAGCAAACAACUUCUACUGCCGGGGUCUAGGAAAGAAAGGCGAGGGGGUCCUGAAGACCACUCCAGGAUUUCAACGAAAGGCAGCCUCGACCAGCAGCAGGACCACGUCCACGAUCACCAGGACGACUCAGCUAGAGUCGGAAGUUCAGAGACUACGAGAACAGCAAGCUGCUCAGGC